CAAAAUUUUCACGUUUAGUUGACCAAAAUUUGUGAAAACAUUUUCUAUAAUAAAACAAAUUCCUUAAAAAAUGAGGAAAUAACUUCCCUAGCACUAGGGUGGGCAUGGUACGGUAUUUGAUACUUCGGUAUCAUAAUUUAAUUUUCGGUUUCUAAAAUUACUAUACCAUUACCUACCAAAUUAAUUAGGGAUGGUUCAGUAUUUUUAAGUUCAAUUUUGAUAUUUUGCGAUACGAUAAAUUAGUAUCAUAGUUUAUUCGACUUACAUAUACUCAUAUCAUAAAAAAUUAUGACUUCGACUGCUCAAGAAACGUAUCAACUAUAUUGUACCUUACACAGGUAAAGCUAUUAAAAAAAAAAAAAAAGUAAAAGCAAUCGCCUUUGUUCAACCCCAUGUUAUUUUAUUGCAUCUAUGCACUAAUCCAAAUAUGUCUCUCUCUCCUCAUCGGCCACUUUUAACAACUUCAUUAACGGCUUCUUUGGAGAGUGAGGGUCACGCUCCAAAUCGUCUGAUGAAGGAACAGCUUCUUCCGGUGGGGAGCCACAUACCCAUCGGUGGAAUUACAGAAAAAAGCCUCUUAUGUGAACACUAUCUCUGCCCCGACAACUAUCAAGCAACAACCUCAAUACGACAAACUAGGGAACAAAUCAUGGGUAAAAAAACAACGCACAACGGUGUUCCUGCCAUUAUCUUCAAGGCGUUGGAUUGCUAUGGAAAAAUGGCGGAGGAAUGCUGAUACACUUUGGUGUGUCUGUUUUUGAAAGCAAGGCCUCAAAUUGAUAAAAUUAGGUCUCAAUUCAAAGAAAUGGUUACUGUGAAAGGAACUGCCACAAUUGGAGUCUUUGACAACUUUAAUGCGGUCAUAAAAUUUACAAAUGAGAAGGAUUCCAAGACUGUUUGGUACAAAAGAGUUAUUGAGAUCGAUGGAUUGCAAAUGUGGCUCCAAAAGUGGUCACCGGAUUUCAAGCCAGAGGAGGAUAUUCCUUUUGCACCAGUUUGGGUUCUUCUUCCAGGUCUGCCAUUCCAUCUCCACACUUGGAAUGAUCUUAAACAGUUGACAGAAAAUGUUAGAACUCCAUUAAUUCUUGAUGCUGCUACUGUCAGUAGAACUAGGCCAAGUAUGGCUAAAAUCAGAGUAGAAAUUGAUCUUUUGAAAACUAGACUUGAAUAAAUAUAGAUUGGUUUGGAGUAUGAGGAUUCACCAUCGAAAAGUUUUUACCAAAAACUUGAAUAUGAGGGCAUUCCUAAAUAAUUGGGUCAUAAUGUUGAUGAAUGUAAGGUCUCGGAAAGGUUUAAUAACAGACUAGCUAAUGCUAUGACUGUUAACAAUAAGAUUGCUACUGUUGGGAUGAUUAGUGAAGAGAAAGAUAGAGGAGAUACUUCAGGGGUCCUAUUGAUGAGAAAAGCAAUGAUACUAUUACUCGCAGGGAAGGAAAGGACAUUAAAAAAAAUGUGGCGGUAGACAAAGAUAUUACUGAAGGGGAAAACAAACAAAUGAAGAAUAAAAACAACGAUGAAAGUCAUAACGAUGUGGAUCAUGAAAGUCAUAAGGAUGUGGAUCAUGAAAACAUCAGGAGUCAAAUGCGAAGACAAAGGGAAAGAAGAAUAGGAAAGGAAAAUCCAAAAAGAUGCCAAGAAAGAAAAACAAGGUCAUUUUCAAAACUAUAUCCUUGUUGGAGGCUAGAAAAAGAAAUAAGAAAACCAAGAAACCUAGUUUCUUCAUUGAUUUGCCUAAGCAGGAUAAGACAACAUUGAUAUUAGUAAGAAUAAUGCUCAAAUCUAGAUUUCUAGAAGCAAAAAUAAAGACAAGAGGGAAAUUGAUAAUAAAGAAGAAGCUGCUGAGAUAUCCACAGAUCAAACUCAUAUAAGUGAUAUUGUGGAGAUUCAGAUUAUCAAUGAAACUCAUGUUGAUGGAGAAGUUCAGAUGGAUACUAAGAAGGAGAAGAAUGAUGAGGUGGAAGAAGGAUAAAUCAUUUCCACUGCUGCUGCUAGUUCUUUUAGUCUACCUUCUUAUAUAAAAAAUCAUAAAGGCAUUCAACUUUUCGUGGAUCUCAAGUGUGAACCUGAUUUAAGAGAACAGAAUGAUACAGAGAAUAUCAGUCAAACCAAGGUGGAUAUGAAUGAUAAGAGAAGAACCAAGAACUUUGAAUGGGAACAAUAACAAUCAGCAUCACAGAGGAAGAAAAUUACAAAAACAUACUGCUAGUUUGAGAACUGUCUCCGAGGAAUCCAGAACUAGCAGGAAAGAUAAUCCAGACUUUAAACUGAGUCAAGGAAGCUUAGUUUCCACUGAUUCUAGAGGAAGGAGUAGGAAUAAGAAGAAAAGAAAAUCCACAAGACAAAAGUCUAAUCCCAAAUCUAAAGGAAAUGGAAAACAAAGACAAAGUGCCCCACUCUUAUCUAUUCCAUGAUCAGUGCCAUUUUUUUGGAAUACUAGGGGAAUAUGGACAAAAAAAUCAUUCUCAGACUCAAAAUUCUUGACAACAUCAAUAAAGUGAUUUUUGUAGCUCUAUAUGAGCCCUUUAUGGAUAUGAACAAGAUAGAUGGUUAUAAACGAUAUUUUGGUUUUCACCAUUGUUUAGCCAAUACCAAUGGUCAAAUAUGGUGCUUCUGGAAAGGUCUUGACAACACCACUAUUGCUGCUAAUACUGAUUAGCAAAUUACUCUUAAGAUGAAAGAUAGUCCCAAUGAUAAUGGAACCUUUGCGACUGCAGUGUAUGCCAAAUGUACACAAGAAGAAAGGGAAGAUCUAUGGGAUAGCAUCAUGAAUAUGUAUAGUCUCAUUAAUUGACCAUGGUGCAUGGGAGGUAACUUUAAUUUCAUCAUGGAUCCUGAUGAAAAACUUGGUAGUGUACCUCAUAUAAUGAGUAAGAGUAUGGCCUUUAUCAAUUGUAUGAGUCUUGUGGUUUGAGUGACUUAGGUUUUACAAGACCUAAAUACACUUGGUGUAACUACUAGAGACCUUGCAAACGGAUAUGGAUGAGACUAAAUAGAGUCUUGAUAAAUGAUGAUUGGACCCUCCAAUAUCAGAACAACAGUGUCAAGCAUCUGUCUAGAUUAGGUUCUGAUCAUAGACCACUUUUGCUUAAAUCUAAAAAUGACCAACAAAGUCACACCAAAUAUUUCAAGUUCCUGAAUUUUUGGGUUGAUCAAGAUAACUUCAUGGAGACUGUCCAAACUUCUUGGAAUGAAGAGGUAGGAGGCAACCCUAUGUGGAGAUUACAAUGUAAGAUGAAGAAACUAAGCAAAGUUCUCAGUAAAUGGUCUAGAGAUCAGAUUGGGAAUAUUCAUGAGCAAUUUCAGGACUGAGAAGCCAAGAUAGAAAUAUUGGGAGAACUGAAUAUCAUGCACAACACAGAACAAGGAAGGGAGGAUCUCAAUAGGGGAUAUGCGGAACAUACAAGAUGGCUCAACAUGCAGGAUUCUUUACUCAGGCAAAAAACUAAGCUUAGAUGGGGACAAGAACACUAAAUACUUUCAUAGUGUUCUAAGAAGUAGGAGAAGAAGAAUGCAAAUACAAAGGAUAAAAAAUUAUAGAGGGAGAUGGGUUCAAGGUGAUGACAAUGUUGCCAAAGCUAAUAUUAAGUUCUCCAUGAAACAGUUCAAUCUUGAACUGCCUGAAAGAAAUAGCAGAAUUUUGGAUUGAAUUCCGAGCAAAAUCACUGAUGAAGACAACUAUAUGUUAACUAAAUUACCAGAUGAGGAGGAAAUUCAACAAGCUAUAUUCAAUAUGAGCAAGGAUAGAUAAGUAUUUCCAGAUGUUUACAGCGAUUGUUUUGCAGGUAAAAGUAUUCAACUAGGGUGGUUGGCUAUCAGCUGGGAUUGGCAAACUCCAUUUUCUUCCUAGAGCAGUGCCGAGUCAUUAUGGUUAUCAUAUGUGUGUAUGGGUAUGUCGGAACCCUGUCCCGACUUAUAUGAUUCAAGUGCUUACUCUUAGAGACUUUGCAGACAGUGUCAUGUGGUUAGUAUGUUGAGAUGUCAUGUGUUGAGUAAAGCGACCAUGUAGUUAGUUUGACUUACUGGGUUUUGAUUAAUUGAGGAUCGUUCGCAAA
This is a long non-coding RNA of Lycium barbarum (goji berry), 4052 nucleotides long. RefSeq lists it as uncharacterized. The record is from RefSeq and is a predicted model, not a curated record. NCBI's taxonomy places the organism in Eukaryota, Viridiplantae, Streptophyta, Magnoliopsida, Solanales, Solanaceae. The transcript has 2 exons.